GGGUUUGUAACUCAAAGGUUAGAGUACGCAACUUUUAAUUGUGGAGUUGGAGGUUCGAGUCCUCUCAAGCCUA
This 73-nucleotide transfer RNA is filed under the name Mixia osmundae IAM 14324. It matches the Rfam family "tRNA". From Rfam's summary of the family: Transfer RNA (tRNA) molecules are approximately 80 nucleotides in length. The record is from Rfam by way of RNAcentral. Lineage: Eukaryota; Fungi; Basidiomycota; Mixiomycetes; Mixiales; Mixiaceae.